Long non-coding RNA from Cylas formicarius (sweet potato weevil), 1155 nucleotides. RefSeq lists it as uncharacterized. The record is from RefSeq and is a predicted model, not a curated record. The transcript has 3 exons. Lineage: Eukaryota; Metazoa; Arthropoda; Insecta; Coleoptera; Brentidae.
GUAAAGCAGAAUCCGAGAAUUCAAUCGGCGGCUGUAUGUUGACUGACAAGAAUAUAAUUGGUGUUAAUCCGGCCCUGCUUCUUGUACAAAUGCAUAGUGGGGAGACAUGAACAUUUUUCGAAAUUGCGGCCCUAUCCUCUUGGGAUUCUACGUUGGACAAAUUCUGAAAACGACCCAGAAAUAUAAUUGGUGAGAAAAUAGUUUUUUUGUUGUGUUAACAGUUAACAAUUUUUUAUUUUGGAAAUAAGGGGUUUCAGUGUGUACUGGUAUUAGUGAAUCAAUUUAAUGACCUCAGCAUCUCUAAACCCCCAUCUUGAGACGCGUUAACGAUCCGGAUCGAGUUACGUCGCGUAAUUGUGUCACUUUUUUAAUUAAAAAAUGAAAGAGAUGUACCUACCAUACUUUAGAAACCCCUACUCCCCUUUGGAGGUGAUGAAAUAAGUUUUGGCAUAAAAUAUAAGUUCCUCGUAUUACUUUGAUAUGAUAAGUAUAAGUCUGCCUGUUUUUUUUUUAAAGGAGGUUCAAACCCGUGCGAGGUGAGGUUUAAUAUAUGAAACAGACCAGUCAUGGGGACACGAGAUAUGCAAAGUUUCAGCGUAGUCGUCGCCACAUUGCUGCCAACACUGCAUAUAUAAGGAAUCACGAACCAUUCAGGAAUAUUGAGACUUAGACCAGUAUCUUUUUAAGUAGGCAUGUGGGGUAAAGAAGACGCAGAAGCUUCAGUCGGGUACCAUCGGUAACGUAGGCGAUUAAUAUAUUUCCACCACUACAUAUGUUGGAUUGGAAUUUCCCAUUUGAUGCUUUGACUGACUAAAUGAGGAAACUUGGAGAUAUUAUUGGUGGUGCCUGCCAGCUUCCAGUUCCGAGAAAAGAAAUCCAAUACUUUUCGUCUUUAUUUCCCCUGUCCUUUGUGCGCAAUAAAAGUACAGUUUGUACCCGCGAGGGUACACAUUCGCAGAACUAUAUGUUUUUAAAAUAAAUGUUAUGGUCAAUAUUCACUAGGUGGGUUACCUUAUUAAAGAAAAUCUUAUUCCAAGAGGGGACACUAGUUUACAUUCGAACCGCUAGAGGGUGCAGAUGGUCACGCGAACAAUAUGAUCAAGUCUCAUUGACGCCAUUGCUUUUCUUAGGGGUGGGAAAAUAUCUGGGCUCUGA